CACUACUAGAUGAAAUCAAACUAAAUAGGAAACUUAGAAAAAGAUUAAACACUUACCCCAAUAAUGCCCUUAAACAACAAAUUAACACGCAAACUCAAUCGAUCCAAUCUCAAAUCAGUCAAAUUAAAACAGAAAACUGGAACAACAAAGUUAAACAAAUUACUAACAAAAACAAAAACUCUCUGUGGAACCUUGCCAGAAACUUAAAAAGAAACACAAUCAACUACACUCUUCCUCCCCUAAUAAAUCCAACAGAUAACACGAAAUUAUACUCAAACUCAGAUAAGGCAAACAUCAUAGCACAAGUCUUUCACAAAGUACACACUAUGAACAACAGUUUAGGACAGUGUUCUUCAACCUGUGUUCCGCGGAACCCUAGGGUUCCACCCAAAGGCUUUCGGGGUUCCGCGAGUCAUUGCUUCAAUUCGAGAGACGUCGGCCGCGCCGCUCUUCAGAAUGCACAUGCGUCAAUCGGAGUUUCAUGUUGAAACAUGUUAUCCAUUCGCAUAGUUGACUUACACUGCACUUAACCUUAAUUUUCAAAAAUAUGUAACUGUACUUGUGGUCGUAGUUUUGUUGUUGUUUUAGGUUUAGACAAGCAAAGAAUCGUUCAGAAAUAUGAUGCUGAAUUGGCUCAAAAGUGGCAAAUUGGAAUCACAAUCCCAAGAACAAUCCUCUUGCUAUCUUGAAAAUUCCAACUGUCUUCCGCCAACAUUAGACUCGACAGAUAUUAUUGGAGAAGAAAAUAAAGCGGGAACAACAAGUCGAAAAAAACGAAAAUAUGAUGAAGAUUACUUGAACUUCGGAUUUACUUGGACUGGUGAUAAAGAUGAGCCAAAUGGACUUUGCGUAAUAUGUGAGCAAGUAGUGAACAACAGCAGUUUAAAUCCUGCAAAGCUGAAGCGACAUUUGGACACUAAACAUCCGACUUUAAAAGGUAAAAGCGAAUAUUUUAAAAGAAAAUGUAAUGAACUAAAUCAGAAAAAGCAUACCUUUGAAAGAUAUGUUCGUGAUGAUAAUAAAAAUCUACUAAAAGCAUCUUAUUUAGUUAGCUUGCGCAUAGCUAAACAAGGCGAAGCUUAUACUAUUGCUGAAAAAUUAAUUAAACCUUGUACGAAAGACUUAACUACAUGCGUAUUCGGCGAAAAAUUUGCAAGCAAAGUCGAUCUCGUCCCAUUGUCUGACACGACGAUUUCACGACGAAUUGAAGAUAUGUCAUAUUUCUGCGAAGCGGUACUAGUAAAUCGUUUGAAAAAUGCUAAAUGUGGAUUUACUUUGCAAAUGGAUGAGUCCACAGAUGUAGCUGGAUUAGCAAUUUUAUUAGUAUUUGUGAGAUACAUACACGAAUCUUCUUUUGAGGAAGAUAUGCUUUUUUGCAAGGCUCUGCCAACUCAAACAACAGGUGAAGAAAUAUUUAAUUUACUUAAUGCUUAUUUUGAAAAACAUUCAAUUCCUUGGAAUUUAUGCUAUCACAUAUGCACUGAUGGAGCCAAAGCUAUGGUGGGUGUUAUAAAGGGCGUAAUAGCACGUAUAAAAAAGCUGGUUCCAGACAUCAAAGCUAGCCAUUGCUGCCUUCAUCGUCAUGCUCUCGCUGUCAAACGGAUACCAAAUGCUUUGCACGAAGUACUCAAUGACGCCGUUAAGAUGAUUAAUUUCAUCAAAUCCAGACCUCUAAAUGCCAGGGUAUUUGCCCUAUUGUGCGAUGAUUUGGGAAGCUUACAUAAAAAUCUCCUUCUUCAUACCGAAGUAAGAUGGUUAUCGAGGGGAAAGGUCCUAACGCGAUUUUGGGAAUUGCGUGAUGAAAUUCGAAUCUUUUUUAAUGAACGUGAAUUUGCUGGAAAACUUAAUGAUACUAGUUGGCUUCAAAAUCUGGCCUACAUUGCAGAUAUAUUUUCAUACCUGAACGAAGUUAAUCUUUCACUUCAGGGACCAAAUUCUACAAUUUUUAAGGUCAAUAGCAGAAUAAACUCGAUAAAAUCUAAACUCAAGCUUUGGGAGGAAUGUAUCACCAAAAAUAAUACGGAAUGUUUUGCUAAUUUAAACGAUUUUUUGGAAACCAGUAAUACUGCAUUAGACCCGAAUUUAAAAAGCAAUAUUUUGGAACAUUUAAAUGGCUUGAAAAACACUUUUUUGGAAUAUUUUCCUCCUACGUGCAACAAUAUUAGUUGGGUCGAAAAUCCGUUUAAUGAGUGUGGUAAUGUGGAUACCCUCCCAAUUAAAGAAAGGGAGCAACUGAAAACAACAGAAAAAAUUCUGUUUACGUCGCAACAAAAACCAAGUACAGAAAUAGACUUGACGCUGAGGAUGAUAUGCGUCUCCAAUUAACAACGAUCCAUCCCGAUAUUGAUAAUUUGUGCAAUAAUAAGCAAGCGCAAAAAAGUCAUUAAUUUUUAUUUUUUAUUUUAUAUAUUAUUUUAUUUGGAAUAUUUAUCUUUUUGUUUAAAGUUUGUUUAAAUAAAUGCAAAUUUAAAUCUUA
Long non-coding RNA from Tribolium castaneum (red flour beetle), 2476 nucleotides. RefSeq lists it as uncharacterized. The transcript is spliced from 2 exons. NCBI's taxonomy places the organism in Eukaryota, Metazoa, Arthropoda, Insecta, Coleoptera, Tenebrionidae. The record is from RefSeq and is a predicted model, not a curated record.